RNAcentral lists this ribosomal RNA (499 nucleotides) under uncultured bacterium. RNAcentral describes it as "bacterial SSU rRNA". It matches the Rfam family "Bacterial small subunit ribosomal RNA", at positions 30 to 516 of the family's 1533-position model. The record is from RNAcentral.
AUUGAACGCUGGCGGCAUGCCUUACACAUGCAAGUCGAACGGCAGCACGGGGCAACCUGGUGGCGAGUGGCGAACGGGUGAGUAAUGUAUCGGAACGUACCAUUCAGUGGGGGAUAACGUAGCGAAAGUUACGCUAAUACCGCAUAUUCUGUGAGCAGGAAAGCAGGGGAUCGCAAGACCUUGCGCUGAUUGAGCGGCCGAUAUCAGAUUAGCUAGUUGGUGAGGUAAAAGCUCACCAAGGCGACGAUCUGUAGCGGGUCUGAGAGGAUGAUCCGCCACACUGGAACUGAGACACGGUCCAGACUCCUACGGGAGGCAGCAGUGGGGAAUUUUGGACAAUGGGGGCAACCCUGAUCCAGCCAUGCCGCGUGAGUGAAGAAGGCCUCGGUUGUAAGACUCUUCGGUCCGGGACGGAAUACGCAUGGGUUAAGUAACCCUCGUGUGGAGUGACGGUACCGGAAGUAAGAAAGACACCGGCGUAACUACGUAGCCAGCACGG